Molecule: long non-coding RNA, 215 nt
Filed under: Panax ginseng (ginseng)
Lineage: Eukaryota; Viridiplantae; Streptophyta; Magnoliopsida; Apiales; Araliaceae
Description: long non-coding RNA (PGIN_LNC017227)
Source: RNAcentral
GCAUAAUUAAACUACGAAUUAAAGAUAUGUAAAAUAUUUUUUUACAGUGAUCGAAAAAAGAGAAUACUUUUAAGAAGAUAAUCUUUGCAUAACAUCAUAUGUAUGUCUAUGAUUGUGAUAAAUUUGGUACUUCAUUGUUAAACUAUAUAAUACUAACCCUCUUUAUCUCUUUUGCCCUUUCUUUCUCUCACUCCCACUUUCUUUCUCGUUUAUCC